UGGGGGAUAUUGCACAAUGGGCGAAAGCCUGAUGCAGCGACGCCGCGUGGGGGAUGAAGGCUUUCGGGUUGUAAACCUCUUUCGCUAUCGAACAAGGCCCGCUUAGGGUGGGUUGAGGGUAGGUGGAGAAGAAGCGCCGGCUAACUACGUGCCAGCAGCCGCGGUAAUACGUAGGGCGCGAGCGUUGUCCGGAAUUAUUGGGCGUAAAGGGCUUGUAGGCGGCUUGUUGCGCCUGCUGUGAAAACGCGGGGCUUAACUUCGCGCGUGCAGUGGGUACGGGCAGGCUUGAGUGUGGUAGGGGUGACUGGAAUUCAGGUGUAGCGGUGGAAUGCGCAGAUAUCUGGAGGAACACCGAUGGCGAAGGCAGGUCACUGGGACAUUACUGACGCUGAGGAGCGAAAGCAUGGGUAGCGAACAGG
This 419-nucleotide ribosomal RNA is filed under the name bacterium. RNAcentral describes it as "partial 16S ribosomal RNA". It matches the Rfam family "Bacterial small subunit ribosomal RNA", at positions 355 to 776 of the family's 1533-position model. The record is from RNAcentral.